This 296-nucleotide non-coding RNA is filed under the name Phaseolus vulgaris (common bean). Lineage: Eukaryota; Viridiplantae; Streptophyta; Magnoliopsida; Fabales; Fabaceae. The record is from RNAcentral.
UUGAUUUAUAUGAAGAAGGAAAUCAAUUGUGCAGAUGAACAAACUAUGGUGGUGGGAUAAAAUUGUAGCUUCCUUGGGUUGGGCUUUGAUUGCAAAAUGCAGGUUUGCUCACUCCAAGUUGAGAGUUUAUCUGAGGUAUCUGAGUGAAGGCCCGAGUUUCUUGAGUCCUAAAGUGGAGGGUACUUUUUUCACAAAGUAACGAAAACCUCCCUCUCCCAACAAUGGAGGGAUGACAGGUUGUUGCAGCCCCUGUCCUCUAUUCCUACUAAGCUUGGUUUACUUAGACCAUCAUCUUU